The sequence is a transfer RNA, 74 nucleotides long. It matches the Rfam family "tRNA". Rfam says of the family: Transfer RNA (tRNA) molecules are approximately 80 nucleotides in length. The record is from Rfam.
GCGCCCGUAGCUCAGCAGGAUAGAGCAGCAGUUUCCUAAACUGUUGGUCGGGGGUUCGAGUCCCUCCGGGCGCG